Molecule: transfer RNA, 68 nt
Filed under: Marmota marmota marmota (Alpine marmot)
Lineage: Eukaryota; Metazoa; Chordata; Mammalia; Rodentia; Sciuridae
Also listed under: 1 other name
Rfam family: tRNA
About the family: Transfer RNA (tRNA) molecules are approximately 80 nucleotides in length. Their secondary structure includes four short double-helical elements and three loops (D, anti-codon, and T loops).
Source: Rfam by way of RNAcentral
GGGGUUGUGGCUCAGUGGUAGAGCACUUGCCUAGCAUAUGUAAGCACUGGGUUCAAUUCUCAACACCA